This 459-nucleotide ribosomal RNA is filed under the name uncultured bacterium. RNAcentral describes it as "partial 16S ribosomal RNA". It matches the Rfam family "Bacterial small subunit ribosomal RNA", at positions 28 to 523 of the family's 1533-position model. The record is from RNAcentral.
GAUGAAUGCUGGCGGCGUGCCUAACACAUGCAAGUCGAGCGGUAAGGCCCUUCGGGGUACACGAGCGGCGGACGGCUGAGUAACGCGUGGGAAUUUGCCCCAAAGUGAGGAAUAACUGCCCGAAAGGGUAGCUAAUGCCGCAUAUGGUCUUCGGAUUAAAGGAUUUAUCCGCUUUGGGAGAAGCCCGCGUUGGAUUAGGUAGUUGGUGAGAUAAAAGCUCACCAAGCCAACGAUCCAUAGCUGGUCUGAGAGGAUGACCAGCCAGACUGGAACUGAGACACGGUCCAGACUCCUACGGGAGGCAGCAGUGAGGAAUCUUCCACAAUGGGCGAAAGCCUGAUGGAGCAACGCCGCGUGCAGGAUGAAGGCCUUCGGGUCGUAAACUGCUUUUAUGAGUGAAGAAUAUGACGGUAACUCAUGAAUAAGCACCGGCUAACUACGUGCCAGCCGCCGCCGUAA